UACAGAGACUGCAAGCGUUGUUCGGAUUCAUUGGGCGUAAAGGGUCCGCAGGCGGUCCGGUAAGUCGGACGUGAAAUCCCGUGGCUUAACCACGGAAAGUCGUUCGAAACUGCCGGGCUCGAGGACUGGAGAGGAGGCUGGAAUAGUCGGUGUAGCGGUGAAAUGCGUAGAGAUCGACUAGAACACCAGUAGCGAAGGCGAGCCUCUGGACAGUUCCUGACGCUCAUGGACGAAAGCUAGGGGAG
Molecule: ribosomal RNA, 245 nt
Filed under: uncultured bacterium
Lineage: Bacteria
Description: partial 16S ribosomal RNA
Rfam family: Bacterial small subunit ribosomal RNA
Source: RNAcentral